UACAGAGGGUGCGAGCGUUGUCCGGAAUCACUGGGCGUAAAGGGCGCGUAGGCGGUCCGCUAAGUGUGUGGUGAAAGCCCGGGGCUCAACCCCGGAGGGUCUCUCGAAACUGCCGAGCUAGAGUGCGGAAGAGGCAACCGGAAUUCCCAGUGUAGCGGUGAAAUGCGUAGAUAUUGGGAAGAACACCGGAGGCGAAGGCGGGUUGCUGGGCCGACACUGACGCUGAGGCGC
This 231-nucleotide ribosomal RNA is filed under the name uncultured bacterium. Its description in RNAcentral is "partial 16S ribosomal RNA". It matches the Rfam family "Bacterial small subunit ribosomal RNA", at positions 524 to 754 of the family's 1533-position model. The record is from RNAcentral.